This 119-nucleotide ribosomal RNA is filed under the name Lepisosteus oculatus (spotted gar). Lineage: Eukaryota; Metazoa; Chordata; Actinopteri; Semionotiformes; Lepisosteidae. The record is from RNAcentral.
GCCAGCAGCCACAUCACCCUGCAACUCCCAGCUGGCAGCCCACUGAAGCUCAGCAGCUGUGAGCCUGGUCAGUACCUGGAAGGGAGACCUCCUGUGGAAAACCAAGGUUGCUGCUGGAA